CCUACGGGUGGCAGCAGUGGGGGAUAUUGGACAAUGGGGGGAACCCUGAUCCAGCGACGCCGCGUGAGUGAAGAAGUAUUUCGGUAUGUAAAGCUCUGUCAGCAGGGAAGAAAGAAAUGACGGUACCUGACCAAGAAGCCCCGGCUAACUACGUGCCAGCAGCCGCGGUAAUACGUAGGGGGCAAGCGUUAUCCGGAAUUAGUGGGUGUAAAGGGAGGGUAGACGGUUAAGUAAGUCUGGAGUGAAAGGCCGGGGCUCAACCCCGGGACUGCUCUGGAAACUAUUUAACUUGAGUGCAGGAGAGGUAAGCGGAAUUCCUAGUGUAGCGGUGAAAUGCGUAGAUAUUAGGAGGAACACCAGUGGCGAAGGCGGCUUACUGGACUGUAACUGACGUUGAGGCUCGAAAGCGUGGGGAGCAAACAGGAUUAGAUACCCGAGUAGUC
RNAcentral lists this ribosomal RNA (443 nucleotides) under uncultured bacterium. Its description in RNAcentral is "partial 16S ribosomal RNA". It matches the Rfam family "Bacterial small subunit ribosomal RNA", at positions 338 to 795 of the family's 1533-position model. The record is from RNAcentral.